RNAcentral lists this long non-coding RNA (215 nucleotides) under Elaeis guineensis (African oil palm). RNAcentral describes it as "long non-coding RNA (EGUI_LNC024723)". The record is from RNAcentral. Lineage: Eukaryota; Viridiplantae; Streptophyta; Magnoliopsida; Arecales; Arecaceae.
AUGAACUAAAUCAAAGUGCUACCGUAUAACCCCCAUGACAAGGUAUCAAAGUACCAGCACAUAAUCUCCACUAAUAGGAUAUCAAAAUACUAGCAUAUAAUCCUACUGAUAAGAUAUCAAAAUACCAGCACACAAUCUUCACUAGUAGGAUAUCGAAGUACUAGUAUACAACCUCCAUUGCUAGGAUAUUGAAAUAUUAGUAUACAACCCCCACU